This 41-nucleotide small nuclear RNA is filed under the name Cervus elaphus hippelaphus. It matches the Rfam family "U2 spliceosomal RNA", at positions 1 to 41 of the family's 192-position model. From Rfam's summary of the family: U2 is a small nuclear RNA (snRNA) component of the spliceosome (involved in pre-mRNA splicing). Complementary binding between U2 snRNA (in an area lying towards the 5' end but 3' to hairpin I) and the branchpoint sequence (BPS) of the intron results the bulging out of an unpaired adenosine, on the BPS, which initiates a nucleophilic attack at the intronic 5' splice site, thus starting the first of two transesterification reactions that mediate splicing. The record is from RNAcentral. Lineage: Eukaryota; Metazoa; Chordata; Mammalia; Artiodactyla; Cervidae.
AUCGCUUCUCGGCCUUUUGGCUAAGAUUAGGUGUAGUAUCU